UACGUAGGGGGCAAGCGUUGUCCGGAUUUAUUGGGCGUAAAGAGCUCGUAGGCGGUUUGUCGCGUCGGCUGUGAAAACUCGGGGCUCAACCCCGAGCCUGCAGUCGAUACGGGCAAACUAGAGUGGUGGUAGGGGAGACUGGAAUUCCUGGUGUAGCAGUGAAAUGCGUAGAUAUCGAGAGGAACACCUGCGGCGAAGGCGGGUUGCUGGGCUGACACGUGACGCUGAGGCGCGAAAGCCAGGGGAGCGAACGGG
RNAcentral lists this ribosomal RNA (255 nucleotides) under uncultured bacterium. RNAcentral describes it as "partial 16S ribosomal RNA". It matches the Rfam family "Bacterial small subunit ribosomal RNA", at positions 524 to 776 of the family's 1533-position model. The record is from RNAcentral.